CGAGGGGCAGCAUGUCUUAGCUUGCUAAGGCGAUGGCGACCGGCGCACGGGUGAGUAACGCGUAUCCACCUGCCUUACACUCUUGGACAGCCUUCUGAAAGGGAGAUUAAUACAAGAUGUUUAAGCAUUCGUAAAGGUUUCCGGUGUAAGAUGGGGAUGCGUUCCAUUAGAUAGUAGGCGGGGUAACGGCCCACCUAGUCUUCGAUGGAUAGGGGUUCUGAGAGGAAGGUCCCCCACAUUGGAACUGAGACACGGUCCAAACUCUACGGGAGGCAGCAGUGAGGAAUAUUGGUCAAUGGACGAGAGUCUGAACCAGCCAAGUAGCGUGAAGGAUGAAGGUUUAUGGAUUGUAAACUUCUUUUAUACGGGAAUAACGAAUCCACGUGUGGAUUUCUGCAUGUACCGUAUGAAUAAGGAUCGGCUAACUCCGUGCCAGCAGCCGCGGUAAUACGGAGGAUCCGAGCGUUAUC
RNAcentral lists this ribosomal RNA (470 nucleotides) under uncultured bacterium. RNAcentral's name for it is "bacterial SSU rRNA". It matches the Rfam family "Bacterial small subunit ribosomal RNA", at positions 63 to 545 of the family's 1533-position model. The record is from RNAcentral.